This 663-nucleotide ribosomal RNA is filed under the name uncultured Bacteroidales bacterium. Its description in RNAcentral is "bacterial SSU rRNA". It matches the Rfam family "Bacterial small subunit ribosomal RNA", at positions 69 to 720 of the family's 1533-position model. The record is from RNAcentral. Lineage: Bacteria; Pseudomonadati; Bacteroidota; Bacteroidia; Bacteroidales.
GCAGCAUUUUAGUUUGCUUGCAAACUGAAGAUGGCGACCGGCGCACGGGUGAGUAACACGUAUCCGACCUGCCGAUAACUCCGGGAUAGCCUUUCGAAAGAAAGAUUAAUACCGGAUGGCAUACGAAUAUCGCAUGAUAUUUUUAUUAAAGAAUUUCGGUUAUCGAUGGGGAUGCGUUCCAUUAGUUUGUUGGCGGGGUAACGGCCCACCAAGACUACGAUGGAUAGGGGUUCUGAGAGGAAGGUCCCCCACAUUGGAACUGAGACACGGUCCAAACUCCUACGGGAGGCAGCAGUGAGGAAUAUUGGUCAAUGGGCGAGAGCCUGAACCAGCCAAGUAGCGUGAAGGAUGAAGGCUCUAUGGGUCGUAAACUUCUUUUAUAUGGGAAUAAAGUUUUCCACGUGUGGAAUUUUGUAUGUACCAUAUGAAUAAGGAUCGGCUAACUCCGUGCCAGCAGCCGCGGUAAUACGGAGGAUCCGAGCGUUAUCCGGAUUUAUUGGGUUUAAAGGGAGCGUAGGUGGAUUGUUAAGUCAGUUGUGAAAGUUUGCGGCUCAACCGUAAAAUUGCAGUUGAAACUGGCAGUCUUGAGUACAGUAGAGGUGGGCGGAAUUCGUGGUGUAGCGGUAAAAUGCUUAGAUAUCACGAAGAACUCCGAUUGCGAAG